This 253-nucleotide ribosomal RNA is filed under the name uncultured bacterium. RNAcentral describes it as "partial 16S ribosomal RNA". It matches the Rfam family "Bacterial small subunit ribosomal RNA", at positions 524 to 776 of the family's 1533-position model. The record is from RNAcentral.
UACGGGGGGGGCAAGCGUUGUUCGGAAUUACUGGGCGUAAAGGGCUCGUAGGCGGCCAACUAAGUCAGACGUGAAAUCCCUCGGCUUAACCGGGGAACUGCGUCUGAUACUGGAUGGCUUGAGUUUGGGAGAGGGAUGCGGAAUUCCAGGUGUAGCGGUGAAAUGCGUAGAUAUCUGGAGGAACACCGGUGGCGAAGGCAGCACUCUGGGACGGUACUGACGCUGAGACGCGAAAGCGUGGGGAGCAAACAGG